RNAcentral lists this ribosomal RNA (261 nucleotides) under uncultured bacterium. RNAcentral's name for it is "partial 16S ribosomal RNA". It matches the Rfam family "Bacterial small subunit ribosomal RNA", at positions 524 to 777 of the family's 1533-position model. The record is from RNAcentral.
UACGUAGGUGGCAAGCGUUGUCCGGAUUUACUGGGCGUAAAGAGCGCGCAGGCGGCCAAGUCAGUCGAAUGUGAAAGCCCCCGGCUUAACUGGGGAGGGUCAUUCGAUACUGCUCGGCUCGAAGACAGGAGAGGGAAGUGGAAUUCCCGGUGUAGUGGUGAAAGUGCGUAGAGUAUCGGGAGGAACACCAGUGGCGAAGGCGAACUUUCUGGCCUGGUUCUUGACUGCUGAGGCGCGAAAAGCUAAGGGGAGCAAACGGGG